UACGUAGGGUGCGAGCGUUAAUCGGAAUUACUGGGCGUAAAGUGCGCGCAGGCGGUCGUUCAAGUCGAGUGUGAAAGCCCCCGGCUCAACUGGGGAGGGUCAUUCGAUACUGAUCGACUUGAAGGCAGGAGAGGGAAGUGGAAUUCCCGGUGUAGUGGUGAAAUGCGUAGAUAUCGGGAGGAACACCAGUGGCGAAGGCGACUUCCUGGCCUGACCUUGACGCUGAGGCGCGAAAGCUAGGGGAGCAAACGGG
RNAcentral lists this ribosomal RNA (253 nucleotides) under uncultured bacterium. Its description in RNAcentral is "partial 16S ribosomal RNA". It matches the Rfam family "Bacterial small subunit ribosomal RNA", at positions 524 to 776 of the family's 1533-position model. The record is from RNAcentral.